GAAACACGGACCAAGGAGUCUAGCAUGUGCGCGAGUCAUUGGGAUUAAUUAAACCUAAAGGCGCAAUGAAAGUAAAGGUUCGCCUCGCGCGAACCGAGGGAGGAUGGGUGUGUAAUAUAAACAUGCCCCGCACUCCCGGGGCGUCUCCCUCUCAUAGCGAGAAGAGGCGCACCCAGAGCGUACACGCUGGGACCCGAAAGAUGGUGAACUAUGCUUGGUCAGGACGAAGUCAGGGGAAACCCUGAUGGAGGUCCGUAGCGAUUCUGACGUGCAAAUCGAUCGUCGGAACUGAGUAUGGGAGCGAAAGACUAAUCGAACCAUCUAGUAGCUGG
RNAcentral lists this ribosomal RNA (332 nucleotides) under Outenikwanus tomentosus. RNAcentral describes it as "eukaryotic LSU rRNA". It matches the Rfam family "Eukaryotic large subunit ribosomal RNA", at positions 656 to 954 of the family's 3401-position model. The record is from RNAcentral. Lineage: Eukaryota; Metazoa; Arthropoda; Insecta; Coleoptera; Scarabaeidae.